RNAcentral lists this long non-coding RNA (623 nucleotides) under Ananas comosus (pineapple). RNAcentral describes it as "long non-coding RNA (ACOM_LNC014818)". The record is from RNAcentral. Lineage: Eukaryota; Viridiplantae; Streptophyta; Magnoliopsida; Poales; Bromeliaceae.
UAUAUAUAGUGGGCUGGUAUGCUUUCGUAAGCACGGAGGCCUCCGUGCUUCCACUUUGUUUUCGAUGUUCGGACUUUCGAAUCGACGAUCGGCUCCGUUAGAGUUGAUCUAGAGUAUUUAAAGUACCAAGAAAUUAAAUUUUNAGAGAGAGAGAGAGAGAGAGAGAGAGAGAGAGAGAGAGAGAGAGUUGUGCUAGAAUACUAUUGAUAGCAAACAGACUUCGUGCUAGAGUACUAUUGAUAGCAAACGGGCUUCGUUGCCACCCAUUUGUUUUCGAUGAUGGAGCCUCCAAAUCGACGAUCGGUACCGUUGAACAUGAUCUAUAUUACUUGAAGUGUUUAGAAAUCAAAUUUUAAAUCUUUUCGACAUCAUUUGCCUAAUGAUCAAAGAAUUUCAAAUUUUGUAAUUUUAAUGGUCGAUAUGAGGCGUUUUCUCGUUUAACGGCGUAAAGAUAUUCACAUCAAUUAAAUUUUUGUUAGAAAAUUCUUUAAACUAUUAAAACAAGAUUUACACUCUUGAUCUUGAUUACAAAGCUCCUAUCAUCAUUUUUCAAAGAAUAUUUAUUUUCAACCGUUCAUUUUUGUUUCCACUCGAUGGAUAAGAGAACAAUAUCGAAAAUAUAU